Molecule: RNA transcript, 1388 nt
Organism: Rhododendron vialii
Lineage: Eukaryota; Viridiplantae; Streptophyta; Magnoliopsida; Ericales; Ericaceae
Gene name: protein COFACTOR ASSEMBLY OF COMPLEX C SUBUNIT B CCB4, chloroplastic-like
Exons: 4
Source: RefSeq, a predicted model, not a curated record
GAAACACAUUUGGUAACAUUUUGUAGCCAGUUUAUUGCAUUUGAUUUUUUAUAUAUAUUCCUUUGGGUGAUGGCUCUUGUUUUCUGUCAUCGUCCCAAUUUUUGCAGUGAUUGAUUCAAUGUUUUGAAGUCUUAAUGUCAAGGUACUUAUUUAGCUUCAGUUUCAUGUGUGAAUGUACGGCUAGGAUUGCUUUUUUUGAGAAAUCACGUGCUCGCUUGUAGACAAUGCUUAUGUCUUUAGAAAAAAAGGACAUCAUGAAAUUUCUCAGCAUUUCUUUCAUUUUUAGUGUCAUUAUUGUAUUUAAUGUUUGCAGAGACACAGAAAUGAAUCUUCUGACACCAAUGGUGGAAGAUCUAACCCUUCUUAAUAAGAAAUAGCACCAGUCUGAGAGCACGUUUUCACAGCUGAAUGCAGAGAUUGUUGAGCAGAAUGAAUUAAGAGAAAAGGAACUGCCACUUGUUCAGGAUGUAGAAGCUAAAGUUAAAGAACGAACCCAGAUCAUUCCUGGUCUUAACAAUCAUCAAAUGUCCUUGUAAGCUUCUAUGAAAAAAUGAAGGAGAAGGCCAAAGAAAUGCAUGAAAAGGGGACAAAAGCCGAGAAGGGAAUGGGUGGCUGACUUGGUAUCAAGAAACAAUGACGCUGUGCGGAGCUUUCCAAUCCAUGUGGGUAGCGUCUCUCUACUGGCGGUUCUCAUCAAUCGCAGUGUUUCGGGCAUACCUCCUGAUGCCAGUAGAGCACAUGAAAAUAGAUUCUUUUGGAGCUACGGACACAUCGAUGCUUCUCAGUUUUGGGUUGUUGGAACCGAUACUUGGUCACGUGAACUGUUGAGAGAGUAAUAUAAAAUAACUGGUGUGAUGGUUGAAUUUGAAGAGAAAUUGAGUCAACGAGGUGGUUGUGGUUUAUCAAGUUCCGUUCAAAAGAUAAAUACGUCUUUGAAGAGAAAUUUACAAACAAUGCGAGAGAAGGUUCGAAGGCAACAAGAUUUGAUGAAACUUCUUUAAAUGCCACUAAGCAAAAGGUUGUAGCUGCCAAGCGAUAUGUAUAGAAGAAUUACAGAGAGCAGAUAAAGGAGCGCUUUAACUUUCGAUAUAUACAUUCAAUGUAUCAGUUUAUAUUAUUUCGAUAUCUUGUUAGAAGGUGGAAGUUUUUGUGUGAUUGGAAUGUCCUGUUGUUUCUCUUAUUUGUAGAAGUAUAUUUUGGUAGCAGUUGCAUUGGACUAUAGAGAUCAGUAGUGUGUGACAAUGGUUAGUUUAAUGCAGAAAGGAAUUUUUGGAACAUGCACAGGUAGAUGGGCUAAUCAAUCGCAUUCUCAUUCAUAGUCAUGGAAUGUACAGAAUCCAAUAGCCUUCGUGAAUGGUAUGUUUGGUUAUAUCUCCAAUGAUUGAAUG